This is a long non-coding RNA of Vicia villosa (hairy vetch), 1347 nucleotides long. RefSeq lists it as uncharacterized. The transcript has 4 exons. Lineage: Eukaryota; Viridiplantae; Streptophyta; Magnoliopsida; Fabales; Fabaceae. The record is from RefSeq and is a predicted model, not a curated record.
CCUCACCCUCUCAUUCUCGUUUCUCCCUUUGCUCUCUCACGAUACUUUCUGGAAAAAUGAAAAGAAAAACGGAACAACUACAAGGUUCCUCUUCUCUUUCGAUUGCUCGACCCGCUCUCAACCACUCUCUCACGCGGUAUCUCUCUUAAGCUCGUGGUUUCUCGUCCUCUCUCGGUUGGAACAACAACAAACUAUGAUUCACCUCACUGAGCUAUGACAACAAUGGCGGCCAUGGAAGAAUCUUGAAGAACCCGGCUCACACUCUCGGUUUCUCACGGUGGAGGACUCUCUCUCUCAGUGAAUGAUUUUCGGCCAUGAGAGAAGAACCAGAGGAAAAAUCUAGGAACUAUAUUCAUAGCAGCAAUAACAUUUUGAGAGUAAAAGUGGAAUUGACUUACCUACGGCGAGGAGAUUUUCACCGGUUAUUGUUGAGGCUCCCUUUUUGAUGAAGAUGGGGCUACAACAUCUCUUCUUGGACUUGCGGGAAUUUUGGAUGAUCGGGAGACUUGAACCAAAGAUUCAAGUUGUUGAAGAUUGAAGGCUUGAAGAUGAAGAUCUUCAAGUUGUUGGAAGCUGCUAGUAAGGUAUGAAGUUCUUACUACAAGACCCUUUUUUUCUAUAUGAAAGAAGCUUUGAAGUGUGAGAACUUUGUGUGUGUUCUCCGAUUUUUUUCCAUGCCAUAUUUGGUUUGCCUCUCUUCUAUAUAUAGAGGAAGAAAUGAGGGACAUCUUUGGUCAUUUUGGCACCUAAGCUUAGUCCUUAAGCUCACUUAGUUGCUAAGUUUUCAUCAUUGCAAAGAAUAUUCUUUCCAAAAUAAUCAUUGCAAAAAUUCCUUGAAUGCUAAGUUUGCUUAAUAGACAAGUUCCACAAAUUUGUGCACAUGGGAGAAUAUGCACAUGGGAUGGAAAGAUCCUUUCAUAACUUCUUGCAAGUUCCACGACAUAGUGUUGUUUUUAUGUCAUAAAAAUUGGUAACUUCUAAGUGUGUAGUUAUGACAUAAAAUAUCUUUCUUUGACUUUUUGACUUUUUUGACUUUUUGACUUUAAUUGGGCUUUUGGGCCCUCUUGAAUUAUUUUGUUGGACUUUUGCUAAUUCUACCUCUUUUAUGUUUUUUUUUUUUUCAUGUCACAUGAGGACUCUUGAAGAAAACAUGAAGAAGGAGACUUGGAUGAAGAAUGGAAACUUGAAGAUUCAAGAAAGCAUUGGAUUUUCGCUUGUUGUAAUUCCAAUUCAUUCCACCUUAGAAUUGUAUGAAUUUGGACAUUGUAUUCUUGAGAAUCAAUGGAAAUUUGAAUGUUGUAACAUCUUGAAUUUUGAAUGAAGUCCACCUUGUAAUUCAUUUGGAAA